Molecule: ribosomal RNA, 253 nt
Filed under: uncultured bacterium
Lineage: Bacteria
Description: partial 16S ribosomal RNA
Rfam family: Bacterial small subunit ribosomal RNA
Source: RNAcentral
UACGUAGGGGGCAAGCGUUAUCCGGAAUUACUGGGUGUAAAGGGUGAGUAGGCGGCAUGGUAAGCCAGAUGUGAAAGCCUUGGGCUUAACCCGAGGAUUGCAUUUGGAACUAUCAAGCUAGAGUACAGGAGAGGUAAGUGGAAUUCCUAGUGUAGCGGUGAAAUGCGUAGAUAUUAGGAGGAACACCAGUGGCGAAGGCGGCUUACUGGACUGUAAAUGACGCUGAGGCUCGAAAGCGUGGGGAGCAAACAGG